This 954-nucleotide ribosomal RNA is filed under the name Klebsiella pneumoniae. Its description in RNAcentral is "bacterial SSU rRNA". It matches the Rfam family "Bacterial small subunit ribosomal RNA", at positions 39 to 947 of the family's 1533-position model. The record is from RNAcentral. Lineage: Bacteria; Pseudomonadati; Pseudomonadota; Gammaproteobacteria; Enterobacterales; Enterobacteriaceae.
GGGGCGGCCUACACAUGCAAGUCGAGCGGUAGCACAGAGAGCUUGCUCUCGGGUGACGAGCGGCGGACGGGUGAGUAAUGUCUGGGAAACUGCCUGAUGGAGGGGGAUAACUACUGGAAACGGUAGCUAAUACCGCAUAACGUCGCAAGACCAAAGUGGGGGACCUUCGGGCCUCAUGCCAUCAGAUGUGCCCAGAUGGGAUUAGCUAGUAGGUGGGGUAACGGCUCACCUAGGCGACGAUCCCUAGCUGGUCUGAGAGGAUGACCAGCCACACUGGAACUGAGACACGGUCCAAACUCCUACGGGAGGCAGCAGUGGGGAAUAUUGCACAAUGGGCGCAAGCCUGAUGCAGCCAUGCCGCGUGUGUGAAAAAGGCCUUCGGGUUGUAAAGCACUUUCAGCGGGGAGGAAGGCGAUAAGGUUAAUAACCUUGUCGAUUGACGUUACCCGCAAAAAAAGCACCGGCUAACUCCGUGCCAGCAGCCGCGGUAAUACGGAGGGUGCAAGCGUUAAUCGGAAUUACUGGGCGUAAAGCGCACGCAGGCGGUCUGUCAAGUCGGAUGUGAAAUCCCCGGGCUCAACCUGGGAACUGCAUUCGAAACUGGCAGGCUAAAGUCUUGUAGAGGGGGGUAGAAUUCCAGGUGUAGCGGUGAAAUGCGUAAAAAGAUCUGGGAGGAAUACCGGUGGCGAAGGCGGCCCCCCUGGAACAAAAGACUGACGCUCAGGUGCGAAAGCGUGGGGGAGCAAACAGGGAUUAACAUACCCCUGGUAGUCCCACGCCCGUAAAACAAUGUCAAAUUUGGGAGGUUGUGCCCCUUGAGGGCGUGGGCUUCCGAAGCUAAACGGCGUUUAAAUCCAACCCCCCCUGGGGGAAGUACCGGCCCGCAAGGGUUAAAACCUCAAAAUGAAUUUGAACGGGGGGCCCCGCCACAACCCGGUGGGAGGCAUGUUGUUU